GAUGAACGCUGGCGGCGUGCCUAACACAUGCAAGUCGAACGAAUUGCUUUAAAGGAAGUUUCGGAUGGAAUUUAAAGUAGUUAGUGGCGGACGGGUGAGUAACGCGUGGGAAACCUGCCCUAUACAGGGGGAUAGCCUCGGGAAACUGGGAUUAAUACCCCAUAAAACUCUAGUAUCGCAUGAUACAUGAGCCAAAGAUUUAUCGGUAUAGGAUGGUCCCGCGUCUGAUUAGCUAGUUGGUGAGGUAACGGCUCACCAAGGCGACGAUCAGUAGCCGGCCUGAGAGGGUGAACGGCCACACUGGAACUGAGACACGGUCCAGACUCCUACGGGAGGCAGCAGUGGGGAAUAUUGCACAAUGGGGGAAACCCUGAUGCAGCGACGCCGCGUGAGCGAAGAAGGCCUUCGGGUCGUAAAGCUCUGUCCUAAGGGAAGAAACGGACGGUACCUUAGGAGGAAGCCCCGGCUAACUACGUG
This 477-nucleotide ribosomal RNA is filed under the name uncultured bacterium. RNAcentral's name for it is "bacterial SSU rRNA". It matches the Rfam family "Bacterial small subunit ribosomal RNA", at positions 28 to 507 of the family's 1533-position model. The record is from RNAcentral.